Molecule: ribosomal RNA, 303 nt
Filed under: uncultured bacterium
Lineage: Bacteria
Description: partial 16S ribosomal RNA
Rfam family: Bacterial small subunit ribosomal RNA
Source: RNAcentral
AGCAGUCGCCGCGGGAAUACGUAGGGUGCAAGCGUUAAUCGGAAUUACUGGGCGUAAAGCGUGCGUAGGCGGCUUCUUAAGUCGGAUGUGAAAUCCCUGAGCUUAACUUAGGAAUUGCAUUCGAUACUGGGAAGCUAGAGUAUGGGAGAGGAUGGUAGAAUUCCAGGUGUAGCGGUGAAAUGCGUAGAGAUCUGGAGGAAUACCGAUGGCGAAGGCAGCCAUCUGGCCUAAUACUGACGCUGAGGUACGAAAGCAUGGGGAGCAAACAGGAUUAGAUACCCGAGUAGUCCCUGUCUCUUAUAC